GACAGAGGCCUCAAGCGUUAGGCGGAAUCACUGGGCUUAAAGCGUGUGUAGGCGGAUUGCUAAGUACCUUGUGAAAUCCCACGGCUCAACCGUGGAACUGCUGGGUAUACUGGUUAUCUUGAGCCACUUAGGGGCGAGCGGAACAAAUGGUGGAGCGGUGAAAUGCGUAGAUAUCAUUUGGAACGCCAAUGGUGAAAACAGCUCGCUGGGAGUGCGCUGACGCUGAGACACGAAAGCCAGGGGAGCGAACGGG
Molecule: ribosomal RNA, 253 nt
Filed under: uncultured bacterium
Lineage: Bacteria
Description: partial 16S ribosomal RNA
Rfam family: Bacterial small subunit ribosomal RNA
Source: RNAcentral